Non-coding RNA from Oryza nivara, 209 nucleotides. NCBI's taxonomy places the organism in Eukaryota, Viridiplantae, Streptophyta, Magnoliopsida, Poales, Poaceae. The record is from Rfam.
CCCCAGUCCAUGAAAAAAGGAUUUUCGUGUCCAAUUUUGACUGUCCGUCUUAUAUGAAAUUUUUUUAUAAUUCGUAUUUUCAUUGUUGUUAGAUGAUAAAACAUGAUUAAUAUUUUAUGCAUGACUUGUCUUUUUAAUUUUUUUUCAUAAUUUUUUUAAAUAAGACGGACGGUCAAACGUUAGACACAGAAACCACGGUUUGUCUUUUU